CAACUCAAACCCCCUCAUUUUCUCUCUCUCUACCUCGCGACCCUUGACGCCGUCCCAUAGCUCUCUCACUCCCAGCGACUGCCGCCUCCCUUCGCUGCUAUUUCGCCUCCAUUCCCUCUCUAUUUCGCCUUCGUCGACCCCUUUCCAGAAACCACCUAAUACCAACACCAAAGCCCAGCCGUGCCAGAAAACCAAAAACCAGCACCAUCAAACCACCAGAUCUACAAAAAGAACCACCAAGAACACCCAAAUCCGUCAUGAGACCCAUCACGCACGGAGGAUAUCACCCAAAUCCGUGAAUAUGUCGGCGCUCUGAUUUUCGUAGCGACAUAUUCACGACCUCGAGAUCUGUCCAAAUCUACAACGAGAGCCACCAAGACACCCAAAUCCGUCAUGAGACCACCACGCACGGAAGAUAUUCACCCACAAGAGCCCUAGUUCCCCUCGAACACGCCCUCCCCAUGGCUGAUUCUUCCACCAUCGUCUGGCUUCAGAGCGCCAUCAAAUUUAACGGCGGAGUUUUCAUCUCUCUCUCUCUCUCUCCCCGCAUGCAUGUAGUGGAAUUCACUCAUGAGGCCUCUAAUUCAUUUGACUUAAGGACUCAAACAAAUAGAUCCUCUGCUCUUUGGAGUACAGGAUCUGUUCGUAGCGCCGUUUUAUAUUCUCUUCUAGGAUUUUCUAAUCCCUGCCUCGGCUGAAAGUAUAAAAAAUGCUUUAACUCUUGCCAAUUCUUUGUGGAAAAGGUCAUAUAAACCACUCGAUUUUCUGGGAAUCUGUCACCUAUUAAAGAACUAGGUGAUGAGCUGCCAAAGCCUUCCUUAGGCUCAGCCAUUGACACACAGUAUGGUUCUCUCGACGCAUUGAUUCAGAAAGUCAAUGCAGAAGGUGCUGCUUUGCAAGGCUUGGGUUAAAUCAACUAAUGGGGAACUAUAUAAUUAAUUGAAUUCUGGACAAUGGCUUGCUCUGGAUAAAGAGCGGAAGCAGCUAUCAGUUGAAACCCCUGCGGACCAGGAUCCACUUGUAACUAAAGGAUCCGCUUUGGUCCCGCUGAUUGGAAUAGAUGUUUGAGCGCAUGCAUACUACCUGCAGAUGUUUUCUUUCUUCCUGCUGCGUAGCAAUGAUGAUAAAUGCUUCUGCUCACCUGUCAGAAUGAGGAUUGCUUCUUUGAUACCGUUAUGUGUAAUCCAAUUAUCUGAAGAACAUAUGGAAGGUUAUUAACUUGAAAUAUGCUAGUGAAAUUUAUGAGAAAGAGUGUCCUUGAGACAACAAUAAGCUCUUAGUACUAUGGUUAGGCUUUUUACUGAAUGCCAGGUCUGUCCAGGUUUAGAUAGCCCUUAUCAAUGAUUAUUUGAUCUUACUGCAUGUUAAAAUGUCAAACUUCAAAUUCUUUUAGACAUUUUCACCUUUUGGAUCCUGAUCUGGCCAGCUUGAUUUGGAAGGUAGAAAAUUUUGUCUCUGUUUUGCCACUAUUUUGACCACUUUCUCUAAAAAUUCUUCCAAACUAUCUCAAAUUAUGAAGUGGAACAAUCUGAUGUGAAUAUGCUGAAAAGUUUGGUAUUUUAAAGCAAAUUUUACGACUAAUCAUGAUAUACUCAGUUCAUUCCCUGAUGUAGAGAUGGGGAAGAAGUACAUAUCAAAUGGUUCUUCAGAUUCAAGUAUCAUGCUAUCAUACUGAAGGGAUGCGUUAGGCCUGUAGGAGCACUAUAAUUUUGUGAUCCCAAUUUGAUCGAAUAUAUGUGUUUUGAAUUAUGAGUAUAAAAUUAGUUGAAGAGGUACUGUGUUGUUGGAUCAUAAUAAUCUUCCUGUCAUAAGAUGAUUGUUUUAAUUUAAAGUACAUAAAUUUUUAUUGAA
This is a long non-coding RNA of Carya illinoinensis, 1851 nucleotides long. RefSeq lists it as uncharacterized. NCBI's taxonomy places the organism in Eukaryota, Viridiplantae, Streptophyta, Magnoliopsida, Fagales, Juglandaceae. The transcript has 7 exons. The record is from RefSeq and is a predicted model, not a curated record.